Molecule: ribosomal RNA, 835 nt
Filed under: uncultured bacterium
Lineage: Bacteria
Description: bacterial SSU rRNA
Rfam family: Bacterial small subunit ribosomal RNA
Source: RNAcentral
ACAUGCAAGUCGAGCGGCAGCGCGGGGGCAACCCUGGCGGCGAGCGGCGAACGGGUGAGUAACACAUCGGAACGUACCCAGUUGUGGGGAAUAGCUCGGCGAAAGCCGGAUUAAUACCGCAUACGACCUGAGGGUGAAAGCGGGGGAUCGCAAGACCUCGCGCGAUUGGAGCGGCCGAUGUCGGAUUAGCUAGUUGGUAGGGUAAAGGCCUACCAAGGCGACGAUCCGUAGCGGGUCUGAGAGGACGGCCCGCCACACUGGAACUGAGACACGGUCCAGACUCCUACGGGAGGCAGCAGUGGGGAAUUUUGGACAAUGGGGGAAACCCUGAUCCAGCCAUUCCGCGUGAGUGAAGAAGGCCUUCGGGUUGUAAAGCUCUUUCGGCAGGAACGAAAAGGCGGGCUCUAAUACAGCCCGUCAAUGACGGUACCUGAAGAAGAAGCACCGGCUAACUACGUGCCAGCAGCCGCGGUAAUACGUAGGGUGCGAGCGUUAAUCGGAAUUACUGGGCGUAAAGCGUGCGCAGGCGGCUUUGUAAGACAGGUGUGAAAUCCCCGGGCUUAACCUGGGAACUGCGCUUGUGACUGCAAGGCUUGAGUGCGGCAGAGGGGGGUGGAAUUCCACGUGUAGCAGUGAAAUGCGUAGAGAUGUGGAGGAACACCGAUGGCGAAGGCAGCCCCCUGGGUCGACACUGACGCUCAUGCACGAAAGCGUGGGAAGCAAACAGGAUUAGAUACCCUGGUAGUCCACGCCCUAAACGAUGCCAACUAGGUGUUGGGGAAGGAGACUUCCUUAGUACCGUAGCUAACGCGUGAAGUCGGCCGCCUGGGGAGUA